This 1342-nucleotide ribosomal RNA is filed under the name uncultured bacterium. Its description in RNAcentral is "16S ribosomal RNA". It matches the Rfam family "Bacterial small subunit ribosomal RNA", at positions 28 to 1378 of the family's 1533-position model. The record is from RNAcentral.
GACGAACGCUGGCGGCGUGCUUAACACAUGCAAGUCGAACGGAAAGGCCCUGCUUUUGUGGGGUGCUCGAGUGGCGAACGGGUGAGUAACACGUGAGUAACCUGCCCUUGACUUUGGGAUAACUUCAGGAAACUGGGGCUAAUACCGGAUAGGAGCUCCUGCUGCAUGGUGGGGGUUGGAAAGUUUCGGCGGUUGGGGAUGGACUCGCGGCUUAUCAGCUUGUUGGUGGGGUAGUGGCUUACCAAGGCUUUGACGGGUAGCCGGCCUGAGAGGGUGACCGGCCACAUUGGGACUGAGAUACGGCCCAGACUCCUACGGGAGGCAGCAGUGGGGAAUAUUGCACAAUGGGCGGAAGCCUGAUGCAGCAACGCCGCGUGCGGGAUGACGGCCUUCGGGUUGUAAACCGCUUUCGCCUGUGACGAAGCGUGAGUGACGGUAAUGGGUAAAGAAGCACCGGCUAACUACGUGCCAGCAGCCGCGGUGAUACCUAAGGUGCGAGCGUUGUCCCGAUUUAUUGGGCGUAAAGGGCUCGUAGGUGGUUGAUCGCGUCGGAAGUGUAUCUUGGGGCUUAACCCUGAGCGUGCUUUCGAUACGGGUUGACUUGAGGAAGGUAGGGGAGAAUGGAAUUCCUGGUGGAGCGGUGGAAUGCGCAGAUAUCAGGAGGAACACCAGUGGCGAAGGCGGUUCUCUGGGCCUUUCCUGACGCUGAGGAGCGAAAGCGUGGGGAGCGAACAGGCUUAGAUACCCUGGUAGUCCACGCUGUAAACGGUGGGUACUAGGUGUGGGGUCCAUUCCACGGGUUCCGUGCCGUAGCUAACGCUUUAAGUACCCCGCCUGGGGAGUACGGCCGCAAGGCUAAAACUCAAAGGAAUUGACGGGGCCCCGCACAAGCGGCGGAGCAUGCGGAUUAAUUCGAUGCAACGCGUAGAACCUUACCUGGGUUUGACAUGGAUCGGGAGUGCUCAGAGAUGGGUGUGCCUCUUUUGGGGUCGGUUCACAGGUGGUGCAUGGCUGUCGUCAGCUCGUGUCGUGAGAUGUUGGGUUAAGUCCCGCAACGAGCGCAACCCUUGUUCACUGUUGCCAGCACGUUAUGGUGGGGACUCAGUGGAGACCGCCGGGGUCAACUCGGAGGAAGGUGGGGAUGACGUCAAGUCAUCAUGCCCCUUAUGUCCAGGGCUUCACGCAUGCUGCAAUGGCUGGUACAGAGAGUGGCGAGCCUGUGAGGGUGAGCGAAUCUCGGAAAGCCGGUCUCAGUUCGGAUUGGGGUCUGCAACUCGACCUCAUGAAGUCGGAGUCGCUAGUAAUCGCAGAUCAGCAACGCUGCGGUGAAUACGUUCCCGGG